CUCUUAUCAAGAGUAGCUGAGGGACUGGCCCUAUGAAGCUCGGCAACCUUCCAAUACAUCGGUAUUGUGAAAGGUGCUAAUUCCAGCAAGAUGACAAAAUCUUGAUAGAUAAGAG
This 115-nucleotide non-coding RNA is filed under the name Kurthia sp. 11kri321. RNAcentral's name for it is "SAM riboswitch aptamer (S box leader)". It matches the Rfam family "SAM riboswitch aptamer (S box leader)". Rfam says of the family: The SAM riboswitch is found upstream of a number of genes which code for proteins involved in methionine or cysteine biosynthesis in Gram-positive bacteria. The SAM riboswitch acts at the level of transcription termination control. The record is from Rfam by way of RNAcentral. Lineage: Bacteria; Bacillati; Bacillota; Bacilli; Caryophanales; Caryophanaceae. RNAcentral also lists the same sequence under 1 other name.